Molecule: ribosomal RNA, 720 nt
Filed under: Triticum aestivum (bread wheat)
Lineage: Eukaryota; Viridiplantae; Streptophyta; Magnoliopsida; Poales; Poaceae
Description: partial small subunit ribosomal RNA
Rfam family: Small nucleolar RNA Z247 (bases 478-616)
Source: RNAcentral
AUGUUUUCAUCCUCCGGCGCCUCGCCUAGCCUCAAUGGCCAGGUCACCGAGAAGCUCAAUCGCACGAACUACGUGCUAUGGCGCACGCAGGUCACACCCCACCUGCGGGGCGCCGGUGUCUUUGGCUACGUCGACGGCACCACGCCGGAGCCGGUCAGACUCCACGGCACGAAGGACAAGGUCGGCAAGGAGACUUCUGCGCCCAACCCUCUCCACCCACUUUGGGUCCGGGAGGACCAACAGGUGCUUGGCUAUUUGCUGAGUACCCUCUCCAAGGAGGUGCUGGUCGCGGUCAACGCGAUCACCACGGCGCGCGAACUCUGGGUGGCACUGGCGGGCAUGUUCUCGUCCCAGUCACUCAGCCGCGUCAACAACAUCAGGACUGCGCUCAUCAACGCGCAGAAGGGCAACCAGUUGGUAGCCUCCUACUUCACCUCCCUCCGCAGCCUCGCCGAUGAACUCGCCACCGCGGGCAAGCCUAUCCAGGACGACGAACUGAUCUCGUACAUUCUCCAUGGCCUCGACAUCGACUACCAGCCGCUCGUCUCCGCCCUCGACGCCCGCGUCACGCCCGUCACCAUCGACGAGCUCUACGCCAUGCUGAGUAAUUUUGAUCAGCGCAUGGCUUCAAGGAAAUAUGCCUUAGAGGCAAUAAUAAAGUUAUUAUUUAUUUCCUUAUAUCAUGAUAAAUGUUUAUUAUUCAUACUAGAAUUAUAUUAA